AAAUUGAAGAGUUUGAUCAUGGCUCAGAUUGAACGCUGGCGGCAGGCCUAACACAUGCAAGUCGAACGGUAACAGGAAGAAGCUUGCUUCUUUGCUGACGAGUGGCGGACGGGUGAGUAAUGUCUGGGAAACUGCCUGAUGGAGGGGGAUAACUACUGGAAACGGUAGCUAAUACCGCAUAACGUCGCAAGACCAAAGAGGGGGACCUUCGGGCCUCUUGCCAUCGGAUGUGCCCAGAUGGGAUUAGCUUGUUGGUGGGGUAACGGCUCACCAAGGCGACGAUCCCUAGCUGGUCUGAGAGGAUGACCAGCCACACUGGAACUGAGACACGGUCCAGACUCCUACGGGAGGCAGCAGUGGGGAAUAUUGCACAAUGGGCGCAAGCCUGAUGCAG
This 394-nucleotide ribosomal RNA is filed under the name Escherichia coli. Its description in RNAcentral is "bacterial SSU rRNA". It matches the Rfam family "Bacterial small subunit ribosomal RNA", at positions 1 to 391 of the family's 1533-position model. Lineage: Bacteria; Pseudomonadati; Pseudomonadota; Gammaproteobacteria; Enterobacterales; Enterobacteriaceae. The record is from RNAcentral.